AAAAAAGAGAUGCUUAACUUUCUCUUAGGAAUUGAUACAUUUUCUUCCUUCUGAUAAUGAGAAUCAGAUAGCUGAUUCUGUUUCUCUCUUAUCUUUGGCUUCAUGAAGUUUAAAGCCAAGUUUGAAACUUAUCUAUAGCAAUUUAAGUUAGUUUUAUGGUUCGAAUAUUUACAUUUUUCUUUUUUUCUUCCAAUAUAUUCUUGACGCAAACUGUAAAUGAUACAAGGAAGGAAAGAAGGGCAGAAGGGGAAGGACAAGGACGGAGACAGACGAGGAGAGGGAAACAACCUGAACAGUACAUGCGCAUAACAGCAUGUCUAGCAGCCCAGCCCACACAGAGGUUUCUGGCUGAGAUGCCUGUCUAAGCCAGGCCUGCCCACAGCACAGAUGGAAGAAGUGCACAUAUUAAUAAGAGUAAGCUUUUCACUGCAACUGCUCAGGACUCAUUUUAAAGAAGAGACAGAUCUCUAACAAGAUUUUGCAGGACUGGAGCCAUCCCCAAGGUGAGUGUCAGGAUGUUUUGAAACUGGGACACACUGUACAGGGGUGAACAAAGGAAUCUGCUUUUCAAUACCACACUGCCUGCUGCAACCAAAUGUCACUGCAGGGCUUAACAGUGAGUAAAUGCUGUGUGUGUAAAUGCUUCUUCUAUGUUUAAAAAACAGGAAACAAGAGGCCUUUGAGCAUAAGUUAGUAAUAAUGACUGAUGAGUUUAAUUUACCUUAAGGGAAGGGACCCAGAAAAGUUUGGCUUAUUAGACAACAUGUCUUAAGAAAAAAGGAUGCCAAAUAACAUUUUGAAUAAUGCAGUUUUUUGAAAGGUGGAAGCUCACCCCUGCCUCUGGAUGCUAUGCAUUUUGAGCAGGUGUUAGCGGCAGUAGCAAGGGUUAAAGGACAAUACUUUCCAUCUUUCAGGACCCAUAAGGGAACAUAUUAAAAUAAAAAACAAAAACAAGCCUCUCUCCUACAGCACUCUCGUUUUGGCCAUCUCCUGCUCGGCUGCCACUCUAAUUGGACUUGAAGUGCUGCCUCCAGGAAAGUGACUCAAGAACCAGCUGGAGCAGAAUGCAAAUAAGCUGGUAGGGGAGAGAGCCCAGGGAAAGAAGAUGAAACAAAAAGAAAAACAAAAUUAAGGAGGAAAGGGGAAGAGGAGAACAGAGACCAUCUGAGUAUAGUUCACACUUUUUUUUUUUAAACAAAUAAGAGGAGGUUCUAGUACAUCAUCAGGUUUUUAAUAAGCAAUCUGGAACCCCAGUAAGGGACAAAUAAGACACUAUUUACAAAUAACUUUCUUUAAGCCAAGUGUACCUGUAAAACAAAGUUAAAUGUACAGGUGCCUAAGAAUGAAGUUCAUAAAAUGUAAAAGGUAAAAAGAGCCAUAUUAAUGGUAACGUUUAAUCUCUGUUUUUAUGCUGUGGCUACUACAAGCAUAUUUUCCAAAUGAAGGCUCAUUUCUAUGGUCUAAUGGUCCCAGGAAUAUUAUUUGGAGAUGAAAAUGACUAACUGCUGCAUCAGUCAAUUUGCAAUGAAACAGGCUCUUGAAAGUUUAGGUUUGUGUUACCUGUUCCUUUUUUGAAAGUGUGUCAAGUCUGAGGGAGCACCUGACAACCACUGACUUGAUACAAGCAGUCUGUCCAGGUCCUUUCCUCCAUGUAGAAAUAAUGAAGCAAGACACACUCCCGGAUACACACAAGAAUAAAUAUUGACAUUAACAUUUAUCUUUAUAAGUGGGGAGGAUCUGGCAAAUUGCUAUGAAGAAUUCAUUUCAGUAACUAUUUGGACUAGUAAAGCUAACAGCUUUGAAAGGCUUAAAAAUGAUUUUACCCAGCCAGGUGUGGUGGCUCACGCCUGUAAUCCCAACACUUUGGGAGGCCAA
This 1875-nucleotide long non-coding RNA is filed under the name Homo sapiens (human). RNAcentral's name for it is "HSALNT0342551". Lineage: Eukaryota; Metazoa; Chordata; Mammalia; Primates; Hominidae. The record is from RNAcentral.